Long non-coding RNA from Neofelis nebulosa (Clouded leopard), 800 nucleotides. RefSeq lists it as uncharacterized. The record is from RefSeq and is a predicted model, not a curated record. The transcript is spliced from 3 exons. NCBI's taxonomy places the organism in Eukaryota, Metazoa, Chordata, Mammalia, Carnivora, Felidae.
CAAGCCUUUUAACAUUUUAUCUGGACCAAACAGUAGUGGUCUUACACAAGAAACGAGAACUCUGUAAGUAAAUCUGUGUAUUUAUAUGACUAAAGUGCAUUAUAAAAAGAAGCAGUAAAUCCAGUUUUCUACAUAAAAGGAAUUAGAUUUUCCAGUUUACCUCUGCUCUGGGAUUAAUAAAAUGUGCAACAAAUAGCUGAUGGAAUGAUCCAUUUGAAGUUUGUAAAGGCAUCUUGGGAAGCUGGCUGGAGUAGCUUUUUUAUUUUUUCAAAAAACGAUGCCUGUUAAUUUUUUGAUUCAGUCUUGUUCAUGAAUGACUGUUUUAAAACGAGCCGAGAGAGACUGUUACCUGCCCAUUUCUGCAUGGCUGAGCAAAUUCACCCGUAAAUCCAAGUUUCUCUUCAUUUCCAUCACUAUACGUCUCCAAAUUAAGGAGAAUUCAUUCCUGAGCUGGAGAGGUGCCAGAAGUUUCUCAUCUACUGUCUGUGGGCUGCCUUUUUCUUUCCCCUCUUUGAGGCUUUCUGAUGCUUAGAGUGAGCUCAACUCAAAGGUUUCCAGCCUCACACUCGCCUCACAUUCCCCCACAGUCACACCGAGCUCUGUGAUUCUGAGGAAUACCGUGUGCCAGCAUCCGAUUCACAGUCUCCUUUUACCUGCAGGUGUUCCAGAAACUUCAAAAUGCGUCUGGAAGAAAUGAAAAGAUUGCAGAAUCCUUUAGGACAAGUUAAUGAUGGAAGAUAUUUACUUGAAAACAAAACAUCAACAUUAAGGCAGCCAUGAGUUCCUUGAGGAGUGUCACG